UGGCUCAGGAUGAACGCCGGCGGUGUGCCUAAUACAUGCAAGUCGUACGCACUGGCCCAACUGAUUGAUGGUGCUUGCACCUGAUUGACGUUGGAUCACCAGUGAGUGGCGGACGGGUGAGUAACACGUAGGUAACCUGCCCCGGAGCGGGGGAUAACAUUUGGAAACAGAUGCUAUACCGCAUAACAACAAAAGCCACAUGGCUUUUGUUUGAAAGAUGGCUUUAGCUAUCACUCUGGGAUGGACCUGCGGUGCAUUAGCUAGUUGGUAAGGUAACGGCUUACCAAGGCGAUGAUGCAUAGCCGAGUUGAGAGACUGAUCGGCCACAAUGGAACUGAGACACGGUCCAUACUCCUACGGGAGGCAGCAGUAGGGAAUCUUUCACAAUGGGCGCAAGCCUGAUGGAGCAACACCGCGUGAGUGAAGAAGGGUUUCGGCUCGUAAAGCUCUGUUGUUGGAGAAGAACGUGCGUGAGAGUAACUGUUCACGCAGUGACGGUAUCCAACCAGAAAGUCACGGCUAACUACGUGCCAGCAGCCGCGGUAAUACGUAGGUGGCAAGCGUUAUCCGGAUUUAUUGGGCGUAAAGCGAGCGCAGGCGGUUGCUUAGGUCUGAUGUGAAAGCCUUCGGCUUAACCGAAGAAGUGCAUCGGAAACCGGGCAACUUGAGUGCAGAAGAGGACAGUGGAACUCCAUGUGUAGCGGUGGAAUGCGUAGAUAUAUGGAAGAACACCAGUGGCGAAGGCGGCUGUCUGGUCUGCAACUGACGCUGAGGCUCGAAAGCAUGGGUAGCGAACAGGAUUAGAUACCCUGGUAGUCCAUGCCGUAAACGAUGAGUGCUAGGUGUUGGAGGGUUUCCGCCCUUCAGUGCCGGAGCUAACGCAUUAAGCACUCCGCCUGGGGAGUACGACCGCAAGGUUGAAACUCAAAGGAAUUGACGGGGGCCCGCACAAGCGGUGGAGCAUGUGGUUUAAUUCGAAGCUACGCGAAGAACCUUACCAGGUCUUGACAUCUUGCGCUAACCUUAGAGAUAAGGCGUUCCCUUCGGGGACGCAAUGACAGGUGGUGCAUGGUCGUCGUCAGCUCGUGUCGUGAGAUGUUGGGUUAAGUCCCGCAACGAGCGCAACCCUUGUUACUAGUUGCCAGCAUUAAGUUGGGCACUCUAGUGAGACUGCCGGUGACAAACCGGAGGAAGGUGGGGACGACGUCAGAUCAUCAUGCCCCUUAUGACCUGGGCUACACACGUGCUACAAUGGACGGUACAACGAGUCGCAAGCUCGCGAGAGUAAGCUAAUCUCUUAAAGCCGUUCUCAGUUCGGACUGUAGGCUGCAACUCGCCUACACGAAGUCGGAAUCGCUAGUAAUCGCGGAUCAGCAUGCCGCGGUGAAUACGUUCCCGGGCCUUGUACACACCGCCCGUCGCACCAUGGGAGUUUGUAACGCCCAAAGUCGAUGGCCUACCUUUAUGGAGGGAGCCGCCUAAGGCGGGACAGAUGACUGGGGUGAAGUCGUA
Molecule: ribosomal RNA, 1512 nt
Filed under: uncultured bacterium
Lineage: Bacteria
Description: 16S ribosomal RNA
Rfam family: Bacterial small subunit ribosomal RNA
Source: RNAcentral